UACGUAGGGUGCGGGCGUUACUCGGAAUUACUGGGCGUAAAGCGUGCGCAGGCGGCCUCUUAAGUCAGAUGUGAAAUCCCCGGGCUUAACCUGGGAACUGCGUUUGAAACUGGGAGGCUAGAGUGUGGAAGAGGGGGGUGGAAUUCCAGGUGUAGCAGUGAAAUGCGUAGAGAUCUGGAGGAACACCGAUGGCGAAGGCAGCCCCCUGGGCUAACACUGACGCUCAUGCACGAAAGCGUGGGGAGCAAACAGG
This 253-nucleotide ribosomal RNA is filed under the name uncultured bacterium. RNAcentral describes it as "partial 16S ribosomal RNA". It matches the Rfam family "Bacterial small subunit ribosomal RNA", at positions 524 to 776 of the family's 1533-position model. The record is from RNAcentral.